GAUCUCGUACUUUUUGUAGAACGGACCGGCGAGUUACGUUAUGCAGCGAGGUUAAGAACUGAAGGUUUGGAGCCGAAGCGAAAGCGAGUCUGAAAAGGGCGAAGAGUUGCAUGACGUAGACCCGAAACCGGGUGACCUAUCCAUGGGCAGGUUGAAGUGGAAGUAAAAUUUCAUGGAGGACCGAACCAGACGUCUGUUGAAAAAGGCGGGGAUGACCUGUGGAUAGCGGAGAAAUUCCAAUCGAACCCGGAGAUAGCUGGUUCUCCUCGAAAUAGCUUUAGGGCUAGCCUCAUAUUAGUUUGCCGGAGGUAGAGCACUGAAUGGUCUAGGGGGCCUCACCGCCUACCGAAACCUAUCAAACUGCGAAUGCCGGAUAAAUGAUGUGCGGGAGUCAGGCCGCGAGAGAUAAGUUCCGCGGUCAAAAGGGGAACACCCCAGAUCGUCUGCUAAGGUCCCCAAGUACGCGUUAAGUGGGAAAGGAUGUUGGAUUGCACAGACAACCAGGAUGUUGGCUUAGAAGCAGCCACACAUUCAAAGAGUGCGUAAUAGCUCACUGGUCGAGUGAUCCAGCGCCGAAAAUGUAACGGGGCUAAAACGCGACACCGAAGCAGCGGGAUGCGUAAGCAUCGGUAGAGGAGCAUUGUGUGAGGAUAGAAGCCAGAGCGGGAGCACUGGUGGACUUCACAGAAGAGAGAAUGCCGGUAUGAGUAGCGAGACCCAUGCGAGAAACAUGGGCGUCGAAGGCCCAAGGUUUCCUGGGGAAGGUUCAUCCACCCAGGGUAAGUCGGGACCUAAGCCGAGGACUGAGGUCGUAGGCGAUGGACAGCAGGUAGAGAUUCCUGCACCACUUACACUUGUUUGACGAAGCAGUGACACAGAAGGAUAGGACGAGCGCGGUGAUGGUCAACCGCGUAGGCGGCACGAGGCUGGGGAGCAGUAAAGUACACUUCCCGUGAAGGCUGAGUGCUGACAGGACCGAAAAAGAGUAGGGAAGCGUCUGAGUUCACGCUGGCGAGAAAAGCUGCUAAGGAGAGUGUGAGUGCCCGUACCGGAAACCGACGCAGGUGGGCGAGGAGAGAAUCCUGAGACGGACGGGAGAACUCUUGUUAAGGAACUCGGCAAAAUGACCCCGUAACUUCGGGAGAAGGGGUGCCUCGAAAGAGGCCGCAGAGAAUAGUCACAAGCGACUGUUUAGCAAAAACACAGGUAUCUGCGAAAGCGAGAGCUGACGUAUAGGUGCUGACGCCUGCCCGGUGCUGGAAGGUUAAGGGGAAGUGUUAGGGGAAACCCGAAGCAGAGAACCGAAGCCCCAGUAAACGGCGGCCGUAACUAUAACGGUCCUAAGGUAGCGAAAUUCCUUGUCGGGUAAGUUCCGACCCGCACGAAUGGCGUAACGACUUGUGAGCUGUCUCAACAGGAGGCCCGGUGAAAUUGAAGUAUGUGUGAAGAUGCACAUUACCCGCGACUGGACGGAAAGACCCCGUAGAGCUUUACUGUAACCUGACAUUGGAUCUUGAUAACGGAUGCACAGGAUAGGUGGGACGCUGGGAGGUAUGGACUUUGGUCUGUACGGAGCGGACGUUGGGAUACCACUCUUCUGUUAUUGAGAUUCUAACCUCAAGCCGUAAGCCGGAUGAGAGACAGUGUCAGGCGGACAGUUUGACUGGGGCGGUCGCCUCCGAAAGAGUAACGGAGGCGCCCAAAGGUACCCUCAGAAUGGAUGGAAACCAUUCGAAGAGAGCAAAGUCAGAAGGGUGCUUGACUGCGAGACCAACAAGUCGAGCAGGUACGAAAGUAGGGCUUAGUGAUCCGGCGGUAAGAGAGUGGAAUUGCCGUCGCUCAACGGAUAAAAGCUACCUCGGGGAUAACAGGCUGAUCUCCCCCAAGAGUUCACAUCGACGGGGAGGUUUGGCACCUCGAUGUCGGCUCGUCGCAUCCUGGGGCUGAAGCAGGUCCCAAGGGUUUGGCUGUUCGCCAAUUAAAGCGGCACGCGAGCUGGGUUCAGAACGUCGUGAGACAGUUCGGUCCCUAUCCAUCGUGGGCGAAGGACACAUGAGAGGAGCUGCUCCUAGUACGAGAGGACCGGAGUGGACGCAUCACUGGUGCAACUGUUGUCGUGCCAACGGCACAGCAGGGAAGCGAAAUGCGGAUGGGAUAAACGCUGAAGGCAUCUAAGCGUGAAGCCCACCUCAAGAAUAAGUGUCCCAUUCGAAAGAAGUAAGACCCCUGGAAGACUACCAGGUGAUAGGUCAUCGGUGAAAGAGCGGUAACGUUUGGAGCUUGAUGAUACUAAUCGGUCGAGGACUUGAUCUA
RNAcentral lists this ribosomal RNA (2313 nucleotides) under human gut metagenome. RNAcentral describes it as "bacterial LSU rRNA". It matches the Rfam family "Bacterial large subunit ribosomal RNA", at positions 595 to 2925 of the family's 2925-position model. The record is from RNAcentral.